RNAcentral lists this ribosomal RNA (458 nucleotides) under uncultured bacterium. RNAcentral's name for it is "partial 16S ribosomal RNA". It matches the Rfam family "Bacterial small subunit ribosomal RNA", at positions 338 to 795 of the family's 1533-position model. The record is from RNAcentral.
CCUACGGGAGGCAGCAGUGAGGAAUAUUGGUCAAUGGGCGAGAGCCUGAACCAGCCAAGUCGCGUGAGGGAGUACUGCCCUAUGGGUUGUAAACCUCUUUUGUCGGGGAGCAAAAGCCGGACGUGUCCGGCUGUGAGAGUACCCGAAGAAAAAGCAUCGGCUAACUCCGGGCCAGCAGCCGCGGUAAUACGGAGGAUGCGAGCGUUAUCCGGAUUUAUUGGGUUUAAAGGGGGCGCAGGCGGUUUUUUAAGUCAGCGGUAAAAUCGUGGGGCUCAACCCCAUCCAGCCGUUGAAACUGGGGAUCUAGAGUGUGCGAGAGGUAUGCGGAAUGCGUGGUGUAGCGGUGAAAUGCAUAGAUAUCACGCAGAACCCCGAUUGCGAAGGCAGCAUACCGGUGCACAACUGACGCUCAGGCACGAAAGCGUGGGUAUCGAACAGGAUUAGAUACCCCUGUAGUC